UACGAAGGGUGCAAGCGUUACCCGGAAUCACUGGGCGUAAAGGGUGUCCAGGUGGCCAUAUUAGUCGUUCGUUAAACCUGCGGGCUCAACCUGCAGCGCGCGAGCGAAACGGUAUGGCUUGAGGGUGGGAGAGGUGCGUGGAACUCACGGUGUAGGGGUGAAAUCCGUUGAUAUCGUGGGGAACACCAAAGGCGAAGGCAGCGCACUGGCCCAUUCCUGACACUCACACACGAAAGCCAGGGGAGCGAACGGG
Molecule: ribosomal RNA, 253 nt
Filed under: uncultured bacterium
Lineage: Bacteria
Description: partial 16S ribosomal RNA
Rfam family: Bacterial small subunit ribosomal RNA
Source: RNAcentral